This is a long non-coding RNA of Triticum dicoccoides, 3118 nucleotides long. RefSeq lists it as uncharacterized. Lineage: Eukaryota; Viridiplantae; Streptophyta; Magnoliopsida; Poales; Poaceae. The record is from RefSeq and is a predicted model, not a curated record. The transcript has 3 exons.
UGAGACUCAGUGCAGUUUUUUUGUCCCAGUGCGCGGGUUGUUUUUGGUUGUUAUCGGGCCCGCACAUUGUUUCGGGAGACCCGUUAAUAUCGCGGAUGCCUUUCACUGGAUCGCUCCCCAUUUCUAGCGGCGAGUGCUCGGAGGCAGAGAGGCAUGGCGAGAUUUUGGUUGGAGGCCUCACUCGCUGAUCUCUCGAGGCGCUUUGAUGGGAGAAAGGGAGAGGCGAAGUCGACGCCAUGGCGAUUUGGCUGCGGUUUCUUCUCGGGUCUUUGAUUCGUGCCGCUCCUUCUUUUGUGGUGGUCCGCAAGCCCUGCGUCUCUCCCCGCCCCCUACAUGAGGUUGUUGGUUUGCAAGCACCCCCUCUCCCCCUGUUCCAUUUUCCCUUCGUUUUUCUGUGCGAUUUGCUAGAUCUGGUUGAUUGUCUCGUUGUAUUCUUCUACUUGCAUUUUUCGUAUGUGGUAUUUUUUGUUGCACAUGUAAAUUUAGCGGUGGAUCCCUCUUGUCUAUUUUGAUUUCUUCUUCCGAAUGUAGAUGUAGUUUCCUUGUGGCAGGCUUUGAAUUAGCGGUGUUGAUCCAUUGGUAGCUGCUAGUGUGGUAGGUUGAUGUUCGUCUGGUCUAGCCUGUUUUUGAUGUAGAUGUGUGGUUUUCUAGUGUAAUUUCUGAUGUAGAUGUAUGGUUGCUCCGCUUUUCCUCUGUUGUUUGAUUCUGGACUGAAUUUCUACAAUUAAGUAAUAGUUAUUUGAUCUGUACUAUUGCAGUGUAAUUUUGAGUGGAUUUCACUGUAAUUAAGUAACAGUUGUUUGGCUACUAUAGACAGCAAUAGUGAAUGGCCAGUGUAAAUGUAAUAUUAGGUUUAAUUUUACAGUGAUAUUUCUACUGUAGUUUCAGUCUAUAGUAGUCUAUCUUACACUGGUUUUUCACUGUAAAUGGCAAGCGUAAAUGUACUUUUUAGGUUUUAUUCUGGACUGAAUUUCUUCAAUUAAGCAACAGUUGUUUGGUCUGUACUAUAGUGAUAUCUCUAUUUAAAUUUCACUGAUAUCUAUGUGUAACUUACACUGUACAUGGUGGUACAUUUAACUGAAUUGUGUGCUUCCAUUGUUUUAUACUUUUGUUUACAUGGUGGUACGUUAACUGAACUUUUCAGUACAUAGAGAAAGUAAUUUAAUGAUGAUAGAUGUAGACAUGCAAAUGUUGACUCUUCUAGUCGGUUGAGUCUCGUGAUGUGUACGUGUUGGUCUGAAAUAAUUCUGUUUUAGUUUCAGUGUUUUGGACUGUAAUUUCUAGUGUAAUUUUGAGUGGAUUUUCAGUAUAGUUUCAUUUGUAGUCCAGUUUUUGGUUCAAAUUUACAGUGAUAUUUUGUACUGUUGGUUCAGGUAUAUAGUCUUUUCUCUCACAGUAAUUUGUUUCUUGUAACUUGCAAUCUGUGUUAAACUGAGGGCUUAACCCCACCAUUAAUUUACACUAUAAAUUAGUGUAGCUAACCUGUAAUUUUUGUACUUACAGUCUUUCCGGUCUAACUUGCAGUGUAAUUACGUUGUACUUUCAGUGUAAUUAUCUGUUUAUUAUGUGUAAUUAACCUGAAUUUUUGUACUUACAGUCUAUGCACUGAAACUUUCCAGUCUAAUUUGCAAUGUAAAUACACUGUAAUUUUCAGUGUAAUUAACCUAUUUUUUUGUAGUUAUAGUCUGUGUACUAAAAUUUUUCAGUCUAAAUUGCAUUGUAAUUACACUAUAAACUCAGUGUAAUUUGCAAUGUAAUUACACUCAGUGUUUAACCUGUGUAUUAAGUGUAAUUAUCCUGAAUUUUGUUCUUGCAGUCUAUGUACUAUAUUUUUCCAAGCUAAAUUGCAGUGUAAUUCUACUGUAAAUUUUUUAUCACAUUUAUGUCAUAUAAGCCUUGUGAGCAGGGACCCCUUGUUAUUCCUCCUGAUGGCAUUGUAAAUUGUUCAGAGAAGCCACAUAGACGAGUUUCCUUUUCAGCACAUUGUACAUCAGUGUUGAGUUUUCAUCAAAAAUGGGAGGAGGCUUGGUUGAGUGUACCAUGUGAUCAUUUUUCCUUCAUUUGUCUAUGAUAUACUUGUCAGGUAUCCUCUCUACGUUCAGUUGGAUCAUCACUCUGAGUAUGUGUCAGGAUAGGAUUCCAUCCUUGUGAAAUGUGCAGCAGAUGCAUCAUGCAUGAGUACUUCUCUUGCAUCAAAUCUAUCUCAUGUAGGUUCUUUCGUUUUUAACCAUGUAGUUUUUUUUCUUUUUCAAGCUCAAACACAUGCAACCUCGUUGUAUCUUCCAUUUUCUUUCAGAACUUCCUGAAGAUGCGAAUGUUGUAGAGCUCAUACACUUGUCGUUCUAUACUGUAUUUGGACCAGAACUUCUUGGGCGCAUCCUUUUUGUUUCUAGACAAGUGAUCACAUUCUUGCUUUCUCUCAUGAAUGACUUCUAUUAUCCUGUCAUACUCUCUUAGGAAGCUUGUUGCACUGAAUUUAGCCCCCACUCCCCUUUUGAACAGUGCAUUUGUCAUACUCUCUUCGAGGUACAGCGACUGCCCUUUGAUGCUAUAUUCUAUUGCAUCUGAUUCGAUUGCAGGCAUCUGCACUCAAUGUUUUCAGAAAGUAUAGAUGUCAUGAGGUAGGAGAGAGAUCUUGGAGGAGUGAAUGCAUAAGAGGGGGGGUGUUUACCUGUGUUUUUUCUGCAUCUCCAGCCAGAUUUGUGUCCCAGAUCAUGGAGGAAUUGCCCUCUCUGGUGUGGACCCAUAAGUGGAUUUACAUUGUAAUUCCUACUGGAUUUACAGUGUUUUUCUUAGUGGAUAUCCAGUGUAAUUCCAAGUGGAUUUACACUGUAAUUACUACUGGAUUUACAGUGUUUUUCCUAGUGGGUUUCCACUGUAAUUCUAAGUGGAUUUACAUUGUAAUUCCUACUGGAUUUACAAUGUUUUUCUUAGUGGAUUUACACUGAAAUGCUUAGUGUAAUUAUUUAGUACAAAUUAUUUGGAUUGGAAGUGUAUUUUUAGCGGUAUUUACAGUGUAAUUUUAGUGGAUUUUACAGUGUAAUUUUAGUGGAUUUUACAUUGUAAUUCUUAGUGCACAUAAAGAUUUUCUAUAGUGCAUUUUUCAGUGGAUAUUACA